This is a long non-coding RNA of Electrophorus electricus (electric eel), 347 nucleotides long. RefSeq lists it as uncharacterized. NCBI's taxonomy places the organism in Eukaryota, Metazoa, Chordata, Actinopteri, Gymnotiformes, Gymnotidae. The record is from RefSeq and is a predicted model, not a curated record.
GCUAUGACGAGUUUACCAAAUAAAUAGAUUCGGAAGGUUUAUAUUAUGGAGACAAAGAAGACUCCACUAAAACCUAUAAAAUGGAUACAAAGGGAACGCCUUUUGAAAAGAAAAAUGAAAUUCAGUAAAUGCAAAAGAAUGAAGAUGGUCCCUCAUCAUUGCAAAUAUGGUUACAUGAUGCUGAGUGGAUUAGGAAGAUCAACUUAAACAGGCAUGACAGAGCUGAUCCUUGUAGGUUCAAUGCCAAUCAGCACUAGACAGAAUGAGUGCAUCUAUCAGGAGAUUGAAGAUCAGGAGCUGAGUACUGCAGUAACGUCCACACUCACCACUGUCUACACCACAGUGGG